AUUGAACGCUGGCGGCAUGCCUUACACAUGCAAGUCGAACGGCAGCGCGGGAGCAAUCCUGGCGGCGAGUGGCGAACGGGUGAGUAAUACAUCGGAACGUGCCCAAUCGUGGGGGAUAACGCAGCGAAAGCUGUGCUAAUACCGCAUACGAUCUACGGAUGAAAGCAGGGGAUCGCAAGACCUUGCGCGAAUGGAGCGGCCGAUGGCAGAUUAGGUAGUUGGUGAGGUAAAGGCUCACCAAGCCUUCGAUCUGUAGCUGGUCUGAGAGGACGACCAGCCACACUGGGACUGAGACACGGCCCAGACUCCUACGGGAGGCAGCAGUGGGGAAUUGUGGACAAUGGGCGAAAGCCUGAUCCAGCCAUGCCGCGUGCAGGAUGAAGGCCUUCGGGUUGUAAACUGCUUUUGUACGGAACGAAACGGUCUUUUCUAAUAAAGAAGGCUAAUGACGGUACCGUAAGAAUAAGCACCGGCUAACUACGUG
This 484-nucleotide ribosomal RNA is filed under the name uncultured bacterium. RNAcentral's name for it is "partial 16S ribosomal RNA". It matches the Rfam family "Bacterial small subunit ribosomal RNA", at positions 30 to 507 of the family's 1533-position model. The record is from RNAcentral.